This 815-nucleotide long non-coding RNA is filed under the name Marmota monax (woodchuck). The record is from RNAcentral. Lineage: Eukaryota; Metazoa; Chordata; Mammalia; Rodentia; Sciuridae.
ACCUCAGAGAGCAGCGCAAAAGGACAGUCAGUAGAAAGGAGCUCAACUCCAACCACGACGGCGGACGAGACCCCAGAAAAAGAACAAGCAGCAAUUGAUCGUAUCGAUGAGGUACAGAAUGAAACAGACAGACUUACUGAGCAAGCCAGUGAGGAGAUGUUGAAAGUAGAACAGAAAUAUAACUCCGCCGAUCAUUUUUUUCAGGAGAGGUCAGAAUUGAUCGCCAAAAUCCCCAAUUUGGGGGUAACAACAUUUGUCAACCAUCCACAGGUGUCCACGCCGCUUGGGGAGGAAGACGAAGCGGCGUUGCAUGAUUUGAUCAGAGUUGAAGUGACAGAAUUUGAAGAGAUCAAAUCAGGUUACAGAAUAGAUUUUUAUUUUGAUGAAAAUCCUUACUUUGAAUAUAAAGUUCUCUCCAAAGAAUUUCAUCUGAAUGAGAGUGGCGAUCCAUCUUCAAACUCCACUGAAAUCAAAUGGAAAUCUGGAAAGGAUUUGAUGUUCAAGUCCAACGCAGAAUAAAGUCAGCAGGAAGAGGCAGCAGGAACUGACAGCUUCUCUACCUGGUUUACUGACCAUCCUGACGCAGGUGCAGGUGAGGUAGAAGAGGACAUCAAAUCAUCAAAGAUGAUAUUUGGUCUAAUCCAUUGCAGUACUACUCGGUGGUUCCUGACAUGGAUAAUGAAGAAGGACUGGAAGAUAUUGAUGAAGAAGGCAAUAAGGAUGAAGGUGAAGAAGAUGAUGAUAAAUGGAAAGAUAACUAACUGAACACGGAUGGAUUCCAACCUUUUUUGUUUUCAUGUUUUUUUUUUUUUUUU